RNAcentral lists this ribosomal RNA (492 nucleotides) under uncultured bacterium. Its description in RNAcentral is "partial 16S ribosomal RNA". It matches the Rfam family "Bacterial small subunit ribosomal RNA", at positions 28 to 507 of the family's 1533-position model. The record is from RNAcentral.
GAUGAACGCUAGCUACAGGCUUAACACAUGCAAGUCGAGGGGCAGCGGUAUCGAAAGCUUGCUUUCGGUAGCCGGCGACCGGCGCACGGGUGAGUAACGCGUAUCGAACCUGCCUCAUACUCGGGAAUAGCCUUGCGAAAGUAAGAUUAAUGCCCGGUGUUUUCAGAGUCCCGCAUGAGGCUUUGAACAAAGAUUAAUCGGUAUGAGAUGGCGAUGCGUCCCAUUAGCUUGUUGGCGGGGUAACGGCCCACCAAGGCAUCGAUGGGUAGGGGUUCUGAGAGGAAGGUCCCCCACAUUGGAACUGAGACACGGUCCAAACUCCUACGGGAGGCAGCAGUGAGGAAUAUUGGUCAAUGGGCGGAAGCCUGAACCAGCCAAGUAGCGUGCAGGAAGACGGCCCUCCGGGUUGUAAACUGCUUUUAGUUGGGAAUAAAACGGGGCUCGUGAGCCCCCUUGCAUGUACCAUCAGAAAAAGGACCGGCUAAUUCCGUG